This 407-nucleotide ribosomal RNA is filed under the name uncultured bacterium. Its description in RNAcentral is "partial 16S ribosomal RNA". It matches the Rfam family "Bacterial small subunit ribosomal RNA", at positions 28 to 526 of the family's 1533-position model. The record is from RNAcentral.
GACGAACGCUGGCGGCGUGCCUAAUACAUGCAAGUAGAACGCAGUUGCGAACGGGUGAGUAACGCGUAGGUAACUGCCUGGUAGCGGGGGAAAACAAUUGGAAACGAUAGCUAAUACCGCAUACUACCAGAUGGACUUGCGUUGUAUUAGGUAGUUGGUGGGGUAACGGCCCACCAAGGCAACGAUCCAUAGCCGACCUGGAAGGGUGGUCGGCCACCCUGGGACUGGGACACGGGCCAGACUCCUACGGGAGGCAGCAGUAGGGAAUCUUCGGCAAUGGACGGAAGUCUGACCGAGCAACGCCGCGUGAGUGAAGAAGGUUUUCGGAUCGGAAAGCUCUGUUGUAAGAGAAGCGGUAUCUUACCAGAAAGGGACGGCUAACUACGUGCCAGCAGCCGCGGUAAUUC